Podarcis lilfordi (Lilford's wall lizard) is the source of this 73-nucleotide non-coding RNA. The record is from the annotation of a GenBank genome assembly. NCBI's taxonomy places the organism in Eukaryota, Metazoa, Chordata, Lepidosauria, Squamata, Lacertidae.
UGUGCUGCUCAGUCAGUAGAGCAUGAGACUCUUAAUCUUAGGGUGGUGGGUUCGAGCCUCACACUGGUCAAAA